AAGAAAUUUUCUUACUUUUUUACAUUUUUCUACUUACCAACAGUUUUCUUUCCCAGAAAAUCGUUAUAGGAAAACGUUGAGAGAAAAACAUGUUUGUGAGGGAUACAGAUAUUUUUGUUUCAGGAACUACAGAAGAGCAAUACCCUCGCUGUCUAUUUAUAUAUUUUCUUUUUUAGUAGUGAAGUGAUUUUUAUCUCGCUUAAAUCAACCAAAUAUACUACAUUUUCUUUACAUGUAUAAAGUCCUGGAAAAUGUGAUAAAAGAAAAAUGAAAUAAAAUAUAACAUUGUAUAUAAGAAAGAUGCAUACUUUGUUUUAAAUAAACA
This 325-nucleotide long non-coding RNA is filed under the name Mytilus galloprovincialis (Mediterranean mussel). The record is from RNAcentral. Lineage: Eukaryota; Metazoa; Mollusca; Bivalvia; Mytilida; Mytilidae.